This 476-nucleotide ribosomal RNA is filed under the name Lysinibacillus macroides. RNAcentral describes it as "bacterial SSU rRNA". It matches the Rfam family "Bacterial small subunit ribosomal RNA", at positions 110 to 572 of the family's 1533-position model. The record is from RNAcentral. Lineage: Bacteria; Bacillati; Bacillota; Bacilli; Caryophanales; Bacillaceae.
GUAACACGUGGGCAACCUACCCUAUAGUUUGGGAUAACUCCGGGAAACCGGGGCUAAUACCGAAUAAUCUCUUUUGCUUCAUGGUAAAAGACUGAAAGACGGUUUCGGCUGUCGCUAUAGGAUGGGCCCGCGGCGCAUUAGCUAGUUGGUGAGGUAACGGCUCACCAAGGCGACGAUGCGUAGCCGACCUGAGAGGGUGAUCGGCCACACUGGGACUGAGACACGGCCCAGACUCCUACGGGAGGCAGCAGUAGGGAAUCUUCCACAAUGGGCGAAAGCCUGAUGGAGCAACGCCGCGUGAGUGAAGAAGGUUUUCGGAUCGUAAAACUCUGUUGUAAGGGAAGAACAAGUACAGUAGUAACUGGCUGUACCUUGACGGUACCUUAUUAGAAAGCCACGGCUAACUACGUGCCAGCAGCCGCGGUAAUACGUAGGUGGCAAGCGUUGUCCGGAAUUAUUGGGCGUAAAGCGCGCGC